CAUAACAGAAAAAAAUUGCAUUCUGUGCAAAUUAGCCUCAACUAAUCUAUCUAAAGCUCCGUUAGCAUAAUAUCUACAGCUCAAUUCAUGCGAGAAGUGAGGUUUUGGAAUUCAUCUUCACUGCACGGAAUUGUAAGACCACCCAUUGGAUGAUCAUAUCCAAAUUCUUCUUCUGAUUGAUUUAGUAAUUCUUGAAAUGAGGGUUGGUUCAAGUAUGAUACAGGAAUCACAAACCGUCUCAUUUUAUCUCCAACGUAGACUGCAAGAUAGCCUUUUGGCACUUCAAAUCCCUUGCUAGAUGCUUGUGUUGACGAAAAUGAUGGCUUUCUGAUAAGCUUUGCUAUGCGGAAACCCAUUGUUUUUUUUAUGGUUAGAGGAUUUGGAUGAGAAAGAUUUAUUUGAAUUAUGAUAAUUUAGGAUGCAAAAGACUUGUGUUGCUUGAGAACACAAUGAAUAGGUGUAUAUAUAGUUGCCAAGGGACUCUACAAAAUCAAUCAGCCAAUGGAAGCAUUUUGAUGAGCUGUGAUAGGGCCUAGUGAGGGACAAGGGAUCACAUGGUAUUGUCCUAUAGAAGUCAUUUUCAAACUAUUAGAUGAAGCUAAAUGGAAGAACAUGCACAUACCCUACUCUGUAACACAACUAAGGAAAAAUUAAAGACAGUGGAUUGGUGAAAGAAACUUGAUGUUUGUUGCUAUAGCUAAUCCAAUAUGUUUGUUCCCACAUCUUUCUUCUAAAUGACAAGGCAACUAAUAUACAUAUACCUGCUAAAUACAUCACAUAUAUGUGCAACUUGUAAAGCUUGAGUAGGACCUGAUUUAUAGCUCAGAAACAGUGUGAGGAGGAAAAAGAGAACCAAUUUUGAACACAAGAUCAUGGGCCUCUAUGAACCACAUUUUAUAUUAUUACAAGACAAGCUUCAUGAUAUUUGCAUACCAGGACAGAAGUUUGCGGUCCUUGCCUUCUUAAUUAAGUAUCAAGGUCAAUUAAACUUUCUAGUGAGGUGAUAUGUUGGUGUAUUAUCUGUCAUGACAUUUGGUCUUUGUGAAAGUCUGAAAGACUUCCAAGACAAUACCAUGUGAUCUUAUAUAUCCUCUUGUCUCUUUGUAUAUUCUUUGUCCCCAACCUAAUCCUAUACUAUAGGACUAUAGGAUACACCUUCACCAAUCAUUCAAGUAGCCAACUGUUUCUCAAUAUGAAUUCUUUCAUCUAUUUAUAUUCAAGGCUACAAGCAUUUAGGACCAACACAAAACAUUCACAUCCUAAAGCAUUCAGUUUUCAAAAACUUGUUAUUGCUACAAUUUAUCUUAUUUUAAAACAAUUUCUUCUCAAGUUUUAACACAUACAACAAUGGGUUUUCGUGUCCCUAGUAUCAUCAGAAAGUCAUCAUUUUCUGCAAGCCGAGUAAUUUCAAAAGUUGUGGAUGUGCCAAAGGGAUAUCUUGCAGUGUAUGUUGGAAAACAAAAGCGAUUUGUGAUCCCCAUAUCAUACUUGAACCAACCAUCGUUUCAAGACUUGUUGAGUCAAGCUGAGGAAGAGUUUGGAUAUGAUCAUUCCAUGGGUGGCCUCACCAUUCCUUGCACAGAAGAUGUCUUUCAACACAUAACAUCUCGCUUGAACGGAAUAUGAAUCUAACACAAAAAAGAGACUGACAUAGUUUAGUAGACUAGAGACAUUUUUGUAAACUAGGCCUGUUAUCAAAUUGUAAAGAUGGGAAAAAAGACCAUUAGAUUGAAAUUCUUUAUAUAGCGUAUAUAUUAUUUUGUUUAGUGAAAACGAAUUCGACUACUCAAGCAGCUCCUCUACUUUUUUGGUUUAUUGCACUUCAGAACUUACAAAAUUCGAUUAUAUGAGUAAUUCUGCUUGCUAUAAGACAAAAAAUGAAUUGGCAUUCUGAAAAAUUUCAAAGCAGGAAUUGAGCACACACAUAUUCUUGGCAAAGGGCAGAUCAAAUUUAUUUUUCUUAAGACAAAAGGUGAAAUCUAAAUUUACCAUUUUUUUUUACUACAUAAUAUAGACAUGAAAUUAAAAUUUUGGAGUGCCAAAGCUUUAAUCUUACAUGAAGUACAUUCCUUUCAUAAACAAGUACACAAUACCAAUUCAUCAACAAGGGAAAUUAUUUCACUGAAUGACAUAGGCCUCAUUAUAUGGUUCCUGUUAGGAUAUCCUUAUCUAAAGAAUUGAAUGGUUAGUACUUACUUAGUGAGAGACAACAGCUCAAGAACCACCACAUGGUGCUGUCUUAUGACUACAAGUUUUUCUUGAAGUGUCACCUACGUAUUCAUUGCUGAAAUAACGACCUUGUUUUUUCUUCAAGACAUCUCAUAUUUUCACUUUUUUGUCCACCUUUCUUUGAUCUCUAUAUUGAUUAGUACUAAUAAAUUUUGUAUCGCUAACAUGGCGUUAUGACAGCUAAAGGAAAUCUCUUUAAUUGUUGGAACAUUAUUUGCACAUAACUAUUAGUCAUUUUGGUCUGAUAGAAGUUUAAAUUCAAUAUUGGUUGCAUGUUAUAAUGUCUUCUGCAGUCAAAAUCAAUGGCUUUCUUUAUCAUAACAGCUUGCAGGACUAGUACUUUGUGAAUAGCACGGAAAGUCCUUUUGAUUGUAAUAUAUGUUGUGAAUUCGGUCAAUUCCAAACUUCACAUCAAUAAAAUUUAGAUUCGUGGCAACCAACAACCAAAAAUUGAUUAACCACAAGCAACAACAACAAGUGCAUGGCAAAACCACAAUCCAACCAAAGAAUAAACAAGAUAAAGAGAGUAAAGACAAGAUAACAACACCAAAGAUUGUUGACUCAGUUCGGUCCAACUUGACCUAAUCUGGGGGAGAGAUUGAUCUCUCCAAUCCACUAUCAAUGAGUUUUUACAAAGAGAUACAAAUGGGUUACAAGAAAUUAGCUUCAACAAGCUCACAAAGAACAACCCUAAUUUCUACACAUUUUACCAAUCUCACCAAUGAACAAGACACUCAUGAUUUUCACUCUCCCUGUUUACAAUUGUUUCAAAACUCAAGAAUCUAACCCCCAAAAGAGAACCAACCCUUAGUCUUUGAUUUCACUAAGGAUCUUCUUUUUUGGUUUUACAAGACUCACCCAAAAAGACUCUCCACUCAUGUGUUUCCCAACCCCAUGAAUCUUCCCCAAAAGACACCAACCCCUUUCCCAAGAGCCCCUUCUUUUGGUUCUCCAAGAUUCACAUCUUAAAGCUUUGAACCUCACCCAAAGACCCUCAACCUUUAGUAUCUAAAACCCUAAAAGUUCCCUCCUUUGGUUUUCAUGAGAUUCACCAAGCUUACCCAACAAAUGGGUCAUGGAGUGCUUAUAUAGUGUUUAGAUCCGGACAAAAUCGUGUCACGAUUUCCCAAAUCGUGACACGGUUGAUGCGUACGACCCAAGGUACGACCAACCUUAUCCUGAAACCGUGCCGAACAAGUUGAAAAUCGUGUCACGUUUUCCCAAAAUCGUGUCACGAUUGAACACAUCAAGGAACCAUGCUCACUACCUGCCAAAUCGUGACACGGUACACAAAUCAUGUCACGAUCCUGAAUUUUGCUAAAAAUCAUUUUUGAGGCACUUUGCAACAGUAUAGUCUUCAUCAAUACCGCACUUUUUCCAACUGCACAAGCACUACCAUGCAACAUAUAAUUAAAUUGCAAACUGGUAAGAAAUUGUUGUAAGCUGGGAAUUUCCUAUAAACAACCACAUGCCUUGGUAGUUGGUUAGGCCCAUUCACUUAAUUCUCAGGUUUGUAACCUGUCCUCCUUGAAUCUAGUAAAUGUAAAUCUUAAACCAGUCAACUUCUCCUAUGAAGAUUUGUUGCCCUUGAUAUCUAAAGGGACAUGAAAAACUAUGGAAGAGUUUUACAUAUUAAGCUUUACAUGAAGAGAUAUAAUUGAUUGACAAUGUAAAACUUUUAUACGUUCUAAGUGCAUGUUUUGUCUUGUUCACCCCUUCGAACAUUUCUGUCAAGUGCCAAUAGUCAACACACAAUGCUGCUAUAUUAAUUCAUGACAUCAUGGUCACAUUAUAAUUUCAUUCAGGUUGCACUAAGAUGGUGUACUAACAUGGACCGAGAUUAAAAGCUUCAACAAAGAGAGGAUGCAAUAAAAUCUUGAUAUAUUUGAUUUUGAGCUGAGGAUAUGAUUCCCUUUGAUAUAAAAGGAACAUGGGAAGCUACGGAAGAUUGUUAUAGAUUGGUGCCAGCAGCUUUGGCAUAAAAAAACUCUCCAUAGUCUUACAAGAUGCAAUAAUCUCUCCUGCAGUUAAUCAGGUAGAAUAAGAAUUUAACACCAGUUGAUUUGGUUCAUCCUGACGGGUUAAACAGGGCGGAUCAAGAAUUUAACACUAGUUGAGUUGAUUUGAUCAUGUCUUGUUUUUUUGGCGGGUUAAACGGCACGGAUCAACUUAGUAGUGGAACACAGAACUUCAACUCGUCUCGCUGGAAAUUGCGGAUUCAACGGGAUGGCACAGCAGACUUGGCCCGAUUUUUCACUCAUACUUGAGUGUUUUCUCUUAGUGUUUUAUCAAUAAAUUUACGCAAUAAACUUAUCUUUUUAAUUUUGGAAUUAAUUCAUAUAAUUGAACGGAUUGUGAUACUUUAAUACUGUUCUAUAUAUUAGAAUUUCUUGAGAUCUGGAAAAAACUAAAAAUAAUUGAAGAGUUGUGAUAACAUUAUCAUUGAGGGAACAUUUUGUUUCCGUAGGAAUGAUUGAUACAUGGAAGAAACAAAAUGAAAAAAAAUAUUAAUAACAGAAAAAAUUGUCAUCUGAGCAAAUUAGCCUCAACUAAUCUAUCUUAAUCUGUAUCCAAAAAAAAUAAAAAUCUAUCUUAAUCUCCAUUAGCAUGAUUUACAAAUCACUUAAGCGAGAAGUGAGUUGUAAGAAAGCAUCUUCACCGCAAGGAAUUGUAAGACCACCCAUUGGAUGAUCAUAUCCAAAUUCUUCUUCUGAUUGAUUUAGUAAUUCUUGAAACGAUGGCUGGCUCAAAUAUGAUACUGGAAUCACGAACCGCCUCAUUCUAUCUCCAACAUAGACUGCGAGAUAGCCUUUUGGGACUUCAAGUCCCUUGGCAGUCUCUUGUGUUUUGGAAAAUGAUGGCAUUCUGAUAAGCUUUGCUAUGCGGAAACCCAUUGUUUUUAUUAUGUAUGGCUCCUCACAAAAAGAUACUGAUGAUGGCAGAGGAUUGGAUGAGAAAGAAAUAUUUGAAUUCUUAUAAUUCAGAAUGCAAAAGAUUUAUGUUGAUUUGAGAAUCCAAGGAAUAAUGUAUAUAUAGUUUCUAAGGGCCUCUACAAACCAAUUAAUCAGUGAAUGUAAUUUGGUGAGCUGUGAUAGGGUCAAGUGAAGGACAAGGGAUCACAUGGUAUUGUCCUAUACAUAUUUUUUCAAGGAUUAGGAAGCUUAAUGGAAGAGCAUGCACAUACCCCACAUUGUGAGAUAAUGGCCAACAAAUAACCCUACUUGAAGUUUGAGACAAUGCAAUGGUGAAAGAAACCUGAUGUUUUUUCUUGCAUUUGGGUAUAGAUAAUCCAAUUGUAGACAUGCUUUAGACAUCUCACAUGUUUCUUCUAAUUGACAUUGCAGCAAAUAUACAUCUACCAACUGAAUAUAUAUCAUAUUUAUGUGAAACUUAUAAGGUUGUGUAGGACCUGAUUGAUAGCUUAAAAACAAAGACUGUGAGGAGGAAAAAAGAAAAUCGAUAUUGAACACAAGAUCAUGAUAUUUGCUUACCAGAACAGAACUUCGCGGUCCCUGCCUUCUUAAUUAAGUAUCAAGGUCAAUUAAACUUUCUAGUGGGGUGAUGUGUUGGUGUAUUAUCUGUUAUGACAUUUAGUCUUUGUGAAAUACUUCUAAGACAACACCAUGUGAUCUUAUAUAUGCUCUUGCCUCCUUGUAGAUUCUUUGACCCUAACCUAAAUUUUAAUUCUAUACUAUAGGAUACCCCUCCUUCACCAAUCAUUCAAGUAGGCAACUGUUUCUCAAAAUUAGUUCUUACAUCUAUAUAUAUUCAAGGCUACAAGCAUUUAGGACCAACACAAAACAUUCACAUCCUAAAGCAUUCAGAUUUCAAAAACUUGGUCUUUGCUUAAAAGUUUAUUUUAUUUUUAAACCAUUUCUUCUAAAGUUUUAACACAUACAACAAUGGGUUUUCGUUUCCCUGGUAUCAUCAGAAAGGCAUCAUUUUCUGCAAACCGAUCAGCUUCAAAAUCUGUGGACGUGCCAAAGGGAUAUCUUGCAGUAUAUGUUGGAGAGAAACAGACGCGGUAUUUAAUCCCCGUAUCAUACUUGAGCCAACCUUCAUUUCAAGGCUUGCUGAGUCAAGUUGAGGAAGAGUUUGGAUAUGAUCAUCCCAUGGGUGGCCUCACCAUUCCUUGCACGGAAGAUGUCUUUCAACAUAUAACUUCUUGCUUCAAUGGGCUAUGAAUCUGAGACCAAAAGAGUCUGACAUAGUUUAGUAGAGACAUUUUUUGUAAACUAGGCAUCUGAUGAAUUUAUGGAGUAUAUAUAUAUUUUUUGUUUAAUGAAAACGAAUUCGACUACUCAAGCUGAUCCUCUAUGUUUAUGUUUAUUGCACUUGCUAUAAGAAGAAAUUUUUUUUCCCUAGGACAAAGGUGAAACAUAAAUUUACCGAAGUGUACAAUAACAAUUCAGUAACAAAGUCAAUUGUUUCACUGAAUGACAUAGGCUGCAUUCUAUGGUGCCUGUUAGGAUAUCCUUAUCUAAAGAAUUGAAUGACUCAGGAGGCUAUAUGACUCACUAACCACCACAUGGUGUUGUCUUAUAGAUUUUCAUCAAGAGACACAAGAGAUUUUAGAAUAAUGGCAUUUUUUUUUUAGAAUAAUGAAUAAACAAGUAUUAGCUGUUGACUUGCUGUACAUAUUUCUGUUUAAAAAAAAAUUCAAAUGGGUACCUACUCGCUCCUUCAUCAGAAUGUGGGGCAUUCAACAUGUAUAAUUUUUUCAUCUUUGAUUGAAGACGUCCUACACAAUACCAUGUGAUCCUUCACCUUACUUUGCAUAGGCCUUCAAUCAUUUAUGAACCUAGUGGUUUUCCAAACAAUAAACUUAUAAAUUCAAGUAUUGCACAUACUUCCUAAUCAUAGUCUAUCAUUGUAACUUUUCCUUAGUUAUUUAUGUUAUAUUUAUAUUCAGAUUUCAGACUCAAUGUUAAAAUACAUUUUUUUUUUGAUGAAAAAUCCAAAACCUUUUUUUCCAUCCUUUUUAUUUCAAAUGUUUACAUAUAACUUUUAAUAUGUACUUCAAUAUAUGCACGAAAUGUUUCUAGUUACCUUGAAACACAAGUAACUUACUAGUGUUUCCAAUACAGUCAGGAACAGUUGCAUUCUUAUGAUCUUAAAUUCAUGAUGUUAACUUUGGACUAACAUCUAAUAUUAUUUGAUCAAUAAAUUUGUUGUUGAUCCCAAGGAAACAUAUUUAAGCAAUAAAUUUAUUUUCGUUUUGAUUCUGGAAUGAGUUCAUAUAACAAAUUAAUGAUGCUGCUGUAUAUCACAGAAUUUGUUGAAAUAUAGAAAAAGGUAAAAAUGAUUUAACAAUAUCUUGUCAUAGCAUUCUCAUUGAGGGAACAUUUUGUUUCCAUAGGAAUGAUUGAUACAUGGAAGAAACAAAAUGAAAAAAAUAUUCAUGACAGAAAAAAAAAAUGGUUCUGUGCUAAUUAGCCUUAACUAAUCUAUCUAAGUCUGAUUAGCAUGAUUUACGGCUCAAUUCAAUCGAGAAGUGAGUUGUAAGAAAGAAUCUUCACUGCAAGGAAUUGUGAGACCACCCGUUGGAUGAUCGUAUCCAUCCAAAUUCUUCUUCUGCUUGAUUUAGUAAUUCUUGAAAUAAUGGUUGGUUCAAGUAUGAUACUGGAAUCACGAACCGUUUCAUUCUAUCUCCAACAUAGACUGCGAGAUAGCCUUUUGGGACUUCAAAUCCCUUGGUAGAUGCUUGCGUUGAGGAAAAUGAUGGCAUUCUGAUAAGUUUUGCUAUGCGGAAACCCAUUGUUUUUUUUUUUUUUUUUUUUUUUUUAUGGUUAGAGGAUUUGGAUGAGAAAGAAAUAUUUGAAUUCUGAUAAUUUAUGAUGCAAAAGACUUGUGUUACUUGAGACCCAAAGAGUAGUGUAUAAAUAGUUGCUAAGGGACUCUACAAACCAAUUAGCCAAUGAAAGUAUUUUGAUGAGCUGUGAUAGGGCCUAGUGAGGGACAAGAGAUCACAUGGUAUUGUCUUAUAGAAGUCAUUUUCAAGGAUUAGAUGAAGUUAAAUGGAAGAACAUGCAAAUACCCCACUUUGUAACACAAAGGAAAAAUUAAAGACAGUGGAUUGAUGAAAGAAACCUGAUGUUUUCUGCUAUAGCUAAUCCAAUGGUUGACAUCCAUUAGACAUCUCAUAUGUUUCUUCUAAUUGAUGUUAUAGCUAAUAUACAUCUACCAGCUAAAUACAUCUCAGAUUUGUGUGCAACUUGUUAGGCUUGUGUUGGAACAGUGUGAGGAGGAGAGAAGAGAACCGAUAUUGAACACAAGAACAUGAGCCACUAUGAACCACAUUUUAUAUUUUUGCAUGACAGACUCCACAAAAUUUGCAUACCAGAACAAAACUUUGCGAUCCCUGCCAUCCUAAUCAAAUAUGAAGGUCAAUUAAACUUUCUAUUCCAUGAAUAGGUCUGUUUUAUGGUAGGGUAGGCCUCUAAGACAAUACCAUGUGAUCUUAUAUAUGCUCUUGUCUCCUUGUAGAUUCCAUGACUCCAUCCUGAUCCUAUACUACAGUAUAUACUUCCACUAAUAAUUCAAGUAGCCAAUGGUUUCUCAAAAUUCUUUUAUCUAUAUAAAUUUUAUAGGUUAGAACCAUUUAGAACCAACUCUAAUCAUUCACAUCCUAAAAACAUUUGCAAUUUGAAAAACUUGGCUAUUGCUUUUAAUUUUUUUCUAAAACCACUUCUUCUAACUUUUUAACACAUACAACAAUGGGUAUCCGUUUCUCUGGUAUUAUCAGAAGGGCCUCAUUUUCUGCAAACCGAGCAAUAUCAAAAGCUGCGGACAUGCCAAAGAGAUAUCUUGCUGUAUAUGUUGGAUAGAAACAGACACGGCAUGUGAUCCGCAUAUCAUACUUGAACCAACCUUCAUUUCAAGAAUUGUUGAGUCAAGCCGAGGAAGAGUUUGGUUACAAUCAUCCCAUGGGUGGCCUCACCGUUCCUUGCACGGAAGAUGUUUUCCAACAUAUAACUUCUCACUUGAAUGGACUAUGAAUCAAACACCAAAAUAGACUAACGUAGUUUUAGUAGAGAUAAUUUUUUGUAAUCUAGUUAUCUUAUCAGAUUGUAAAGAUGAAAAAUGUCAUUAGAUUGACAAAUUUAUAGCAUAAAGACAUUUUUUAAUGACAAUGAAUUCGACUACUCAAACAUCUCCUUUGUGUUUUUGGUUUAUUGCACUUAAAAACUUAUGAAAUAUGACUAUAUGAGUAAUGUUGCUUGCUAUAAGAAAAUUAAGGGACUAGGUAUCCUGAAAAUUAAGGGAAUUUUUAUUUAUUUUUAAUUUAUUUUUAAUUUUUUUUAUAAACUACAUAACAUUUUCAAAGCUCUUCAUCAAUCAUUUGUGUACCAAAUGGUUUUCCAAACCACUCUUUAUCUAUAUAUAUUUAGAGAUGAUUAUGGUUGCUGUCAGAAACAAUUAACUUCCUCUAAUCAUAGCCUAAUAUUUUAAUUUUUUUCCUAGUUAUUUAUGUUAAACAUAUAAUGGGCGACAUUGUUAUUGAGUAGGGUGAUGGUUCGUAACUAAAUACUAAAUAUUCAUAAAUCUAAAACCUUUUUCCAUCGUUUAUAUUGUAGAUGUUUACAUAUAAUUUUUCAUUAUAUACGCACAAAAUGAUUCUAGUAACCUUGACACACAAGUAAUUUAUUGCAGCCUUUCCAAUAUACUGUCAAGAAAAGUUGCAUUUAUGAUCUUAAAUUCAUGAUGUUAACUUGGAGUGUCUUCUGGUAAUGUUUGAUCAAUAAAUUUGUGUUUCAACAUGAGGAGAUAUAUUUAUGCAAUAAAUUUAUUUUCUUUUUGAUUCUGGAAUGAAUUCAUAUAGCAAACUAAUGAUGCUGUAUAUAAUAGAAUUUGUUGAGAUUUAGAAUAAGCUAAAAAUGAUUUAACAAUAUCUUGUACCAACAUUCUCAUUGAGGGAACAUUUUGUUUCCGUAGGAAUGAGUGUUACAUGGCAGAAACAAAAUGAACAAAAUAUUCAAAACAGAUAAAAAAAAAAAAGCCUUCUAUGCAAAUUAGAAUGAACUAAUCUAUAUUAAUCUCUAUUAGCAUGAUAUCUACAGCUCAAUUCAUGCGAGAAGUGAGGUUUCGGAAUUCAUCCUCGCUGCACGGAAUGGUAAGACCACCCAUUGGAUGAUCAUAUCCAUAUUCUUCUUCAGAUUGAUUUAGCAAUUCUUGAAAUGAAGGUUGGUUCAAGUAUGAUACUGGAAUCACAAACCGCCUCAUUUGAUCUCCA
RNAcentral lists this long non-coding RNA (10462 nucleotides) under Medicago truncatula (barrel medic). RNAcentral describes it as "long non-coding RNA (MTRU_LNC002000)". The record is from RNAcentral. Lineage: Eukaryota; Viridiplantae; Streptophyta; Magnoliopsida; Fabales; Fabaceae.